RNAcentral lists this ribosomal RNA (460 nucleotides) under uncultured bacterium. Its description in RNAcentral is "partial 16S ribosomal RNA". It matches the Rfam family "Bacterial small subunit ribosomal RNA", at positions 338 to 795 of the family's 1533-position model. The record is from RNAcentral.
CCUACGGGUGGCAGCAGUGAGGAAUAUUGGUCAAUGGGCUUACGCCUGAACCAGCCAAGUCGCGUGAGGGAAGACUGCCCUAUGGGUUGUAAAUCUCUUUUGUCAGGGAGCAAUUGGCGCUAUGUGUAGCGUUAUCGAGAGUACCUGCAGAAAAAGCAUCGGCUAACUCCGUGCCAGCAGGCGCGGUAAUACGGAGGAUGCGAGCGUUAUCCGGAUUAAUUGGGGUAAAGGGGUGCGUAGGCGGAAUGCCAAGUCAGCGGGAAAAUCGCGGGGCUAAACCUCGAUCGGCAGUUGAAACUGGCGUGCUUGAGUAGGCGAGAGGUAGGCGGAAUGCGUGGUGUAGCGGUGAAAUGCGUAGAUAUCACGAGGAACUCCGGUGGCGAAGGCGGCAUACCGGAGCCCAACUGACGCUGAGGCGCGAAAGCGUGGGGAGCGAACAGGAUUAGAUACCCGGGUAGUC